AUCAUAGUCAAAAUCUGAGUUUGAUCCUGGCUCACAAGGAACGCUAGCUAUAUGCUUAACACAUGCAAGUCGAACGUUGUUUUCGGGGAGCUGGGCAGAAGGAAAAGAGGCUCCUAGCUAAAGUUGUCUCGCCCUGCUUCAAAACUACAGGGCGCGCGCUACGGCUUUGACCUAACGGCCUCCGUUUGCUGGAAUCGGAAUAGUUGAGAACAAAGUGGCGAACG
This 224-nucleotide ribosomal RNA is filed under the name Psathyrostachys juncea. Its description in RNAcentral is "partial 18S ribosomal RNA". Lineage: Eukaryota; Viridiplantae; Streptophyta; Magnoliopsida; Poales; Poaceae. The record is from RNAcentral.